UAAAAUUAUGCACCGGAGUAUAAGCCGCACCAGUCACUAUGUCCAUUAUAAAGAAAAAUAAACCAUAAAUAAGUCGCACUGGACUAUAAGUCGCUUGGACAUACAGGUAUGUUAACUUAACAUGAAAAGUUCAGAUGAUAAUAUUGCGACGACAACC
Molecule: long non-coding RNA, 157 nt
Organism: Thalassophryne amazonica
Lineage: Eukaryota; Metazoa; Chordata; Actinopteri; Batrachoidiformes; Batrachoididae
Exons: 3
Source: RefSeq, a predicted model, not a curated record